RNAcentral lists this unclassified non-coding RNA (389 nucleotides) under soil metagenome. Its description in RNAcentral is "partial contains 5.8S ribosomal RNA, internal transcribed spacer 2, and large subunit ribosomal RNA". The stretch from base 1 to 120 matches the Rfam family "5.8S ribosomal RNA", at positions 35 to 154 of the family's 154-position model. The record is from RNAcentral.
GAUGAGACGUAGCGAAAUGCGAUACUUGGUGUGAAUUGCAGAAUCCCGUGAACCAUCGAGUCUUUGAACGCAAGUUGCGCCCGAAGCCAUUAGGCCGAGGGCACGCCUGCCUGGGCGUCACACGUCGUUGCCCCCCCAUCUACUCCUUCGGGAUUGCGGGGGGCGGAUGAUGGCCUCCCGUGCGCCUCGCCGCGCGGUUGGCAUAAAUGCCAAGUCCUCGGCGACGCACGCCACGACAAUCGGUGGUUGCGAAACCUCGGUUGCCCGUCGUGUGCGGUCGUCGCGCAUCGAGGGCUCGAAAAAAUUGCCGGGUUCCGGCUCGGCUUUCAACGCGACCCCAGGUCAGGCGGGGUUACCCGCUGAAUUUAAGCAUAUCAAUAAGCGGAGGA